AGUUUACUGUCACAAUUAAUGAUUUGCUGAGUCGUCUACGUUCAGUUCAACAAAGAGAUGCCAGCUGUGAUUACAGUUUGGGAAGUGAACCCAACUCUUUGUCUCCUCGUAGUGAUGCAUACAGCUUGACUGAUAUUGUGGAGAAAGAGACACACGAGACGGAGAGACCAACGACAUUUCCUGUGACCACAGGUCUGACUGUUACCAGGCUCCAUACUUCAACUCAAGCAACUUCUGUAACAACAGGGCGGACUGUCGGUACCACAAGUAACACUGGUAGCUUUAUCUCUACAAUCCAAACAUCAGUGAAACCAGAAACAGAUGAAAUAAAGUUCUCAAUAAUAAACACUGACUUUUCAGUAAAAUGUUGGAACAUUUGUUAUUUUAAU
This is a long non-coding RNA of Centropristis striata (black sea bass), 389 nucleotides long. RefSeq lists it as uncharacterized. The record is from RefSeq and is a predicted model, not a curated record. Lineage: Eukaryota; Metazoa; Chordata; Actinopteri; Perciformes; Serranidae. The transcript has 4 exons.